This 254-nucleotide ribosomal RNA is filed under the name uncultured bacterium. RNAcentral's name for it is "partial 16S ribosomal RNA". It matches the Rfam family "Bacterial small subunit ribosomal RNA", at positions 524 to 776 of the family's 1533-position model. The record is from RNAcentral.
UACGGGGGGAGCAAGCGUUGUUCGGAUUUACUGGGCGUAAAGGGCGCGUAGGCGGCCACCGCAAGUCAGUUGUGAAAUCUCCGAGCUUAACUCGGAAAGGUCAACUGAUACUGCGGGGCUAGAGUGCGGAAGGGGCAACUGGAAUUCUUGGUGUAGCGGUGAAAUGCGUAGAUAUCAAGAGGAACACCAGUGGCGAAGGCGGCUUCCUGGACUCAUACUGACACUGAGGUGCGAAAGCGUGGGGAGCAAACAGG